RNAcentral lists this ribosomal RNA (608 nucleotides) under Salmonella enterica subsp. enterica serovar Typhimurium. RNAcentral's name for it is "partial 23S ribosomal RNA". It matches the Rfam family "Bacterial large subunit ribosomal RNA", at positions 1149 to 1757 of the family's 2925-position model. Lineage: Bacteria; Pseudomonadati; Pseudomonadota; Gammaproteobacteria; Enterobacterales; Enterobacteriaceae. The record is from RNAcentral.
UCGAGUCGGCCUGCGCGGAAGAUGUAACGGGGCUAAACUAUGCACCGAAGCUGCGGCAGCGACACUAUGUGUUGUUGGGUAGGGGAGCGUUCUGUAAGCCUGUGAAGGUGUGUCGUGAGGCAUGCUGGAGGUAUCAGAAGUGCGAAUGCUGACAUAAGUAACGAUAAAGCGGGUGAAAAGCCCGCUCGCCGGAAGACCAAGGGUUCCUGUCCAACGUUAAUCGGGGCAGGGUGAGUCGACCCCUAAGGCGAGGCCGAAAGGCGUAGUCGAUGGGAAACGGGUUAAUAUUCCCGUACUUGGUGUUACUGCGAAGGGGGGACGGAGAAGGCUAUGUUGGCCGGGCGACGGUUGUCCCGGUUUAAGCGUGUAGGUGUGUGUUCCAGGUAAAUCCGGUUCACUUUAACACUGAGGCGUGACGACGAGGCACUACGGUGCUGAAGCAACAAAUGCCCUGCUUCCAGGAAAAGCCUCUAAGCAUCAGGUAACAUCAAAUCGUACCCCAAACCGACACAGGUGGUCAGGUAGAGAAUACCAAGGCGCUUGAGAGAACUCGGGUGAAGGAACUAGGCAAAAUGGUGCCGUAACUUCGGGAGAAGGCACGCUGACAC